This 429-nucleotide ribosomal RNA is filed under the name Bacillota bacterium. RNAcentral's name for it is "Firmicutes bacterium partial 16S ribosomal RNA". It matches the Rfam family "Bacterial small subunit ribosomal RNA", at positions 355 to 776 of the family's 1533-position model. Lineage: Bacteria; Bacillati; Bacillota. The record is from RNAcentral.
UGGGGAAUUUUGGACAAUGGGCGAAAGCCUGAUCCAGCAAUGCCGCGUGUGUGAAGAAGGCCUUCGGGUUGUAAAGCACUUUUGUCCGGAAAGAAAUGGCUCUGGUUAAUACCUGGGGUCGAUGACGGUACCGGAAGAAUAAGGACCGGCUAACUACGUGCCAGCAGCCGCGGUAAUACGUAGGGUCCAAUCGUUAAUCGGAAUUACUGGGCGUAAAGCGUGCGCAGGCGGUUGUGCAAGACCGAUGUGAAAUCCCCGGGCUUAACUUGGGAAUUGCAUUGGUGACUGCACGGCUAGAUUGUGGCAGAGGGGGGUAGAAUUCCACGUGUAGCAGUGAAAUACGUAGAGAUGUGGAGGCAUACCGAUGGCGAAGGCAGCCCCCUGGAAUAACACUGACGCUCAUGCACGAAAGCGUGGGGAGCAAACAGG